Carya illinoinensis is the source of this 108-nucleotide small nucleolar RNA. NCBI's taxonomy places the organism in Eukaryota, Viridiplantae, Streptophyta, Magnoliopsida, Fagales, Juglandaceae. The record is from RefSeq and is a predicted model, not a curated record.
UAUCCAUGAUGGGGGUAUGCAUUAAGCAAAUCGUUGAAUCUCUCCAAAGAUUGGUAAAAAGUUUCAUUAUCUUUUUAUGCAAAAUUCAUGAUUUGCCUUUUUAAUGCA